UUUGCUUAGGCAACCUAUCAACUAGCUUGAAACCAUACUCAGAAGCUGCUGCAAGAAUACAUGGUUCAUCAACUCUGCGAGGAAGAUGACACAGAAUUAAAGCAGGCCUUCUAUCCUCUUCGUUCUCCUGGCUGGCUGCAAUCAACUCCUUCGCUGUUUGAAACAAGGGUGAUAUAGCUUCACGGACAUAGGUAACAUCAGUGCCUAUGAUAACAUCAAAUCCCUUGCCAUUCAGCUCCUUGACGCUUUCUAUAUCAUCUUCAUUUCCCCACUCCAGUCUUUUCGUUAUUAACCUGCCAGAAGACGAUGCUUUGAGAUUUGAAGCAACAUUUUGAGUCAACAAUUCGAGUGCUUUUGCAUCUCCAUCAGUGGCAACCACGAGAUCAGCAGAUCCAGUGGCCAGCAUUGAGCAGAUUCCCCCACAGCCACACCCAAGUUCUAAGACCCUUUUUCCUGCAACAAUUGUUGCAUUUGCAGCAAGGACAGAAGCCAUGAGCCUAGCUGAUUCCCAUAGCAUCAGCCCAGUUGAUUUGCAGGUAUGUUGGUGCUCCCUGGAAAGCACUUUUAUCUUGAACAUGUGAUCUCUUAUAAUGACCUCAAUAAUCUGUUACAUUUCAAAUUGACACAUCUGAUAACUGGAGCAACAUACUACAGGCAUGUGAAAUUCAAAUGUCCCAAGUUCAUAAAACUUGGUGCACUAGUAGCAAAGGGAAAGCCAGAAUA
RNAcentral lists this long non-coding RNA (723 nucleotides) under Coffea arabica (coffee). RNAcentral describes it as "long non-coding RNA (CARA_LNC006090)". The record is from RNAcentral. Lineage: Eukaryota; Viridiplantae; Streptophyta; Magnoliopsida; Gentianales; Rubiaceae.